RNAcentral lists this ribosomal RNA (275 nucleotides) under uncultured Staphylococcus sp. RNAcentral describes it as "partial 16S ribosomal RNA". It matches the Rfam family "Bacterial small subunit ribosomal RNA", at positions 86 to 355 of the family's 1533-position model. The record is from RNAcentral. Lineage: Bacteria; Bacillati; Bacillota; Bacilli; Caryophanales; Staphylococcaceae.
CUGACGUUAGCGGCGGACGGGUGAGUAACACGUGGGUAACCUACCUAUAAGACUGGGAUAACUCCGGGAAACCGGGGCUAAUACCGGAUAACACAUGAAACCGCAUGGUUUCAUGAUGAAAGACGGUUUUGCUGUCACUUAUAGAUGGACCCGCGGCGUAUUAGCUAGUUGGUAAGGUAACGGCUUACCAAGGUAACGAUACGUAGCCGACCUGAGAGGGUGAUCGGCCACACUGGAACUGAGACACGGUCCAGACUCCUACGGAGGCAGCAGCC